GAUGAACGCUGGCGGCGUGCCUAAUACAUGCAAGUCGAGCGAACAGACGCGGCGCUUGCUCCUUUGACGUUAGCGGCACACGGGUGAGUAACACGUGUGUACCCUACCUAUAAGACUGGUAUAACUUCGGGAAACCGGCGCUAAUCCCGGAUAAUCUUUCGAUCCGCGUGGUUCGAUGGUGAAAGAUGGCUCUGCUAUCACUUAUAGAUGGACCUGCGCCGUAUUAGCUAGUUGGUAAGUAAACGGCCUACCAAGGCAAGGAUACGUAGCCGACCUGAGAGGGGGGUAGGCCACACUGGAACGGGGACACGGUCCAGGGUCCUACGGGACGCAGCAGAAGGGAAUCUGCGGCAAUGGGCGAAAGCCUGACGGAGCAACGCGGCGUGAGUGAUGAAGGUCUUCGGAUCGGAAAACUCUGUUAUUAGGGAAGAACAAACGUGUAAGUAACUGUGCAGUUCGUGACGGUACCUAAUCAGAAAGCCACGGCUAACUACGUG
RNAcentral lists this ribosomal RNA (497 nucleotides) under uncultured bacterium. RNAcentral's name for it is "partial 16S ribosomal RNA". It matches the Rfam family "Bacterial small subunit ribosomal RNA", at positions 28 to 507 of the family's 1533-position model. The record is from RNAcentral.